RNAcentral lists this ribosomal RNA (465 nucleotides) under uncultured bacterium. RNAcentral's name for it is "partial 16S ribosomal RNA". It matches the Rfam family "Bacterial small subunit ribosomal RNA", at positions 28 to 507 of the family's 1533-position model. The record is from RNAcentral.
GACGAACGCUGGCGGCGUGCUUAACACAUGCAAGUCGAACGGAAAGGCCCUGCUUGCAGGGUACUCGAGUGGCGAACGGGUGAGUAACACGUGGGUGAUCUGCCCUGCACUUCGGGAUAAGCCUGGGAAACUGGGUCUAAUACCGGAUAGGAGCCAUUUUUAGUGUGAUGGUUGGAAAGUUUUUUCGGUGUAGGAUUAGCUCGCGGCCUAUCAGCUUGUUGGUGGGGUAAUGGCCUACCAAGGCGGCGACGGGUAGCCGGCCUGAGAGGGUGGACGGCCACAUUGGGACUGAGAUACGGCCCAGACUCCUACGGGAGGCAGCAGUGGGGAAUAUUGCACAAUGGGCGCAAGCCUGAUGCAGCGACGCCGCGUGGGGGAUGACGGCCUUCGGGUUGUAAACUCCUUUCGCUAGGGACGAAGCUUUUUGUGACGGUACCUAGAGAAGAAGCACCGGCUAACUACGUG